AACGAACGCUGGCGGCAUGCCUAACACAUGCAAGUCGAACGAGACCUUCGGGUCUAGUGGCGCACGGGUGCGUAACGCGUCGGAACCUGCCCUUAGGUUCGGAAUAACUCUCCGAAAGGGGUGCUAAUACCGGAUAAUGUCUUCGGACCAAAGAUUUAUCGCCUUUGGAUGGGCCCGCGUUGGAUUAGCUAGUUGGGAGGGUAAAGGCCUACCAAGGCGACGAUCCAUAGCUGGUCUGAGAGGAUGAGCAGCCACACUGGGACUGAGACACGGCCCAGACUCCUACGGGAGGCAGCAGUGGGGAAUAUUGGACAAUGGGCGAAAGGCUGAACCAGCACUGCCGCGUGAGUGAUGAAGGUCGUAGAGUAGUAAAGCUCUUUUACCCGGGAUGAUAAUGACAGUACCGGGAGAAUAAGCACCGGCUAACUCCGUG
Molecule: ribosomal RNA, 433 nt
Filed under: uncultured bacterium
Lineage: Bacteria
Description: partial 16S ribosomal RNA
Rfam family: Bacterial small subunit ribosomal RNA
Source: RNAcentral